GAGUGAACGCUGGCGGUAGGCCUAACACAUGCAAGUCGAACGGCAGCCCAGUAAGAGCUUGCUCUUACGGGUGGCGAGUGGCGGACGGGUGAGGAAUACAUCGGAAUCUACUUUUUCGUGGGGGAUAACGGAGGGAAACUUACGCUAAUACCGCAUACGACCUACGGGUGAAAGCAGGGGAUCUUCGGACCUUGCGCGAUUGAAUGAGCCGAUGUCGGAUUAGCUAGUUGGCGGGGUAAAGGCCCACCAAGGCGACGAUCCGUAGCUGGUCUGAGAGGAUGAUCAGCCACACUGGAACUGAGACACGGUCCAGACUCCUACGGGAGGCAGCAGUGGGGAAUAUUGGACAAUGGGCGCAAGCCUGAUCCAGCCAUACCGCGUGGGUGAAGAAGGCCUUCGGGUUGUAAAGCCCUUUUGUUGGGAAAGAAAAGCAGCAGGUUAAUACCCCGCUGUUCUGACGGUACCCAAAGAAUAAGCACCGGCUAACUUCGUG
This 493-nucleotide ribosomal RNA is filed under the name uncultured bacterium. Its description in RNAcentral is "partial 16S ribosomal RNA". It matches the Rfam family "Bacterial small subunit ribosomal RNA", at positions 27 to 507 of the family's 1533-position model. The record is from RNAcentral.